UACGUAGGUGGCAAGCGUUGUCCGGAUUUACUGGGCGUAAAGAGCGCGCAGGCGGUCGCUCAAGUCGCGUGUGAAAGCCCCCGGCUCAACUGGGGAGGGUCACGCGAUACUGUUCGACUCGAAGGCAGGAGAGGGAAGCAGAAUUCCCGGUGUAGUGGUGAAAUGCGUAGAUAUCGGGAGGAAUACCAGUGGCGAAGGCGGCUUCCUGGCCUGUUCUUGACGCUGAGGCGCGAAAGCUAGGGUAGCAAACGGG
RNAcentral lists this ribosomal RNA (253 nucleotides) under uncultured bacterium. RNAcentral describes it as "partial 16S ribosomal RNA". It matches the Rfam family "Bacterial small subunit ribosomal RNA", at positions 524 to 776 of the family's 1533-position model. The record is from RNAcentral.